This 253-nucleotide ribosomal RNA is filed under the name uncultured bacterium. RNAcentral describes it as "partial 16S ribosomal RNA". It matches the Rfam family "Bacterial small subunit ribosomal RNA", at positions 524 to 776 of the family's 1533-position model. The record is from RNAcentral.
UACGAAGGGGGCUAGCGUUGUUCGGAAUCACUGGGCGUAAAGCGCACGCAGGCGGUUUGAUAAGUCUGGCGUGAAAGCUCCCGGCUAAACCGGGAGAGGUCGUUGGAUACUGGCAGACUAGAGGGUGGUAGAGGCGUGUGGAAUUCCGGGUGUAGUGGUGAAAUGCGUAGAGAUCCGGAGGAACACCAGUGGCGAAGGCGACACGCUGGGCCAUACCUGACGCUAAAGCGCGACAGCAUGGGGAGCAAACGGG